Molecule: long non-coding RNA, 1932 nt
Filed under: Capsella grandiflora
Lineage: Eukaryota; Viridiplantae; Streptophyta; Magnoliopsida; Brassicales; Brassicaceae
Description: long non-coding RNA (CGRA_LNC000218)
Source: RNAcentral
UUUACAUAUAUCGCAUCAGCUUCAACAACCGUAACCGUGUGAUUUGCGAUGCUAAAAAAGAGCUCGUCAUUAAGUGCAGCAUUGAUUAGCCUGAGAAGGUAUGUUUUUCCUGGCUUCACUCUCAGUCUGAAUGUAUCUGUUUACAUCAUUGGUUACGUUGAUUAGUGGGCUAUAAUUUAUUAAACCAUAAUUAGAUAUAGGAAUCAAUAAUUACCUUUGGCAGAGCAGUUAUAUAAUGGACCAGGAAGCCCAUUGAUCGUGUAAGCAUCAGAGACAUUAGGACCUCCUCCUGUUUGUGUUGCUUGGCGGAUGAUUGCCUCAGGGUCUGCGUUGAACCACUCCCCUGCAAGUUAACCAUAAAAAAUCAGCUAUUAUGUUUAUAAACUCUCAUCAGAUUCUCAGUCUGCUUCUAUUCCUCAUCAUCCUUACCAAAGAUCAUGGGAACUUCUUUGUGAGGUUUAGCAAACGGGUAAGGAACACCGCGUUUGGGAAGGAUGAUAAGUGGACCAUAGACUGUUGCUCUUAGCCAUGAAAUGUGAGCAUGAUAAAACAGGGUGCCUCUUUGACCAACAAUGGUAUAGUUGUAGACAUAGCUUUGUCCUGUCUGAAUAGGACAUUGGGUUAUAUAGGCUGGUCCAUCAGCCCAGCCACUUCGUAGUUGUCGGAUCCCAUGCCUGCGAUUUUUCACGCAUUAAAGCCAGCUAUAUGUAAUCAACCGUUACUCUUAUUAAUGAUACAAGUGGUUUGAAGAUUAUUUACCAGUGGAUAGAGAUGUUGUUUGGCACUUGAUUAACGACUUUGAUCAGAAGCUGGUCACCUUCUCUAGCAAUAAGCUUAGGUCCUGGAAACUGCCCGUUUACAGAAACAAGGCUCUUUGUGUGGCAAAGCCGUGUCACGUUCUGCAUUUUGAUCUGCGAAAACGUAACAAUAUUCAAUCAUUAUUUGCAUUCCCAUUUAAACUACUACACAGAAGAAACAAAUCCUUCACAUACUUCCAGCGUAUAAUGCCUUGUAAUCCCAAAUGCAGGUUGAGGAAGAAGGAGAACACAAGAGAAAAUAGCUAAGAGAAGCUGAAACGCCAUUUGAGUGAGCUUUGGACCCCGAGGCUUUGAUUAUAGCAAGUAAGUUUUACUGAAUACUCUGCCUCGGUUAUUUGUUUAUGUAUUUGCUGUAGAUUGUGGAUUCAUUGUUUCAACAUUUAGUGUAUAUAUAGGAAGGAGAGUUAGGUGUUUGCUUGAGCAAGAGAGCUAGAAAAAACAAUUAGUAAAUGUUUUGGAAAAAAACAAAAAGAUAAUUGGUAGAGAAGUACUCCCUGUAAUCAGAAACACUUGAUAUUGACAAGUUGUUAGAUUAUGUAUGAACAGCUAAUGUAUGAGUGGUGUCAAAGAUAAGUCAAACUCUUUGACCCUCUUCAAUUCCUCGAAAACUAUUGUUUCCUUCUCGAUACUAUGGCGUAGAUUCUAAAUAUGAAAUGUAAAAUUGCCAAUUUUAGUUUCUCAGAUAUGACAGUUCCUCUUCCUGUGCUGCAUCUUUGACAGCUUUGAGUAUAUUAGACUUCAAAUUUUUGACAUGAGAAAGUAAGUGACUUGGACUAAAUGUGGCAGUUUAGGAAUAUCGUUUUGGCUAAGUUUUGCUUAGACCCAAAACACAACUCUACGUACGAACAUCAAAAUUUUACGCACUCUUGGAUUUUCUUGGAAGGGGUAACUUUUGUGAUUAUAGUGGUUAUGUUUUAGUAAAUUACAUUUCAAUUUCAUCAUUUCAUAAGCAUGUUAUAAGUGAUAAGUACUUCAUCUCUGUUUGUUAAUUAUUUUAAUUUAUUUUAUUUGUAGGUGAGGAACUUUUUAAAGGAGAUUUAACCGAUGUGGAGUUAGUCAAAACAUUCGUAAGCUAAAAUUGCUUGGGGUAUAAGCAAGGAGAGGGAGAUUGUAG